ACUCCUACGGGAGGCAGCAGUGGGGAAUAUUGCACAAUGGGGGAAACCCUGAUGCAGCCAUGCCGCGUGUGUGAAGAAGGCCUUGGGUUGUAAAGCACUUUCAGUAGGGAGGAAGGUAGUGUAGUUAACACCUGCAUUAUUUGACGUUACCUACAGAAGAAGCACCGGCUAACUCCGUGCCAGCAGCCGCGGUAAUACGGAGGGUGCGAGCGUUAAUCGGAAUUACUGGGCGUAAAGCGCAUGCAGGCGGCCUGUUAAGUCAGAUGUGAAAGCCCGGGGCUUAACCUCGGAAUUGCAUUUGAAACUGGCAGGCUAGAGUCUUGUAGAGGGGUUAGAAUUUCAGGUGUAGCGGUGAAAUGCGUAGAGAUCUGAAGGAAUACCGAGUGGCGAAGGCGGCCCCUGGACAAAGACUGACGCUCAGAUGCGAAAGCGUGGGAGCAAACAGGAUUAGAUACCCCGUGGUAGACUGU
This 470-nucleotide ribosomal RNA is filed under the name uncultured bacterium. Its description in RNAcentral is "bacterial SSU rRNA". It matches the Rfam family "Bacterial small subunit ribosomal RNA", at positions 335 to 798 of the family's 1533-position model. The record is from RNAcentral.